Molecule: RNA transcript, 9499 nt
Organism: Bombus huntii
Lineage: Eukaryota; Metazoa; Arthropoda; Insecta; Hymenoptera; Apidae
Gene: sev
Gene name: proto-oncogene tyrosine-protein kinase ROS
Exons: 21
Source: RefSeq, a predicted model, not a curated record
ACUUUUCCCUGUCUUGAAUGGCAACGUGGACAGCCGGCAAAAAGCGGCACGUGCGAAUAUAUGAAUGAAAGUUUACGAGGAUAGUAAGAACAGGUCAAUCUGUCAAUUGACCAUUGGUCUGUCGGACCUGCUCGAACGAAGGUUCGGAUCGUUUCUCCCUUCUGUUCGUCUUCAGACACUCGACAGGCAUACCACAGUGGCCUCACGUGUACACGCUUCGCUCUGCUCGGUUCGGAGUAUACCUACCACCACCGUACGGAAUUGGUCAAGCAGAGUGCAACAGAUAAGGGUGGCCAUGGUGGGGGAUAGUUGACUCUCUAGUGGCCAUUCGGAGUCAGUUGCUCUUAUGCUUGCCAGACAUUAACAACAACCACGUCAGGCUCUUACAGUGAGGGUCUCGUGACUCAAAACGUCACAGGUGAUUCGAAACAGCGUGGAAUUCUACUUUAUCACCGGAAAGCCUCUUGUUUUGAAUUCGUACACGAGAAGUGCCUGGACGAUAAUCCAAUUUUUUACCAGUGGAAAAAGAAAACGAUGGAAAUCGUUCGGAUUUUUAGUCGUUGACAUUUGCAUCGGUGGAUAUUUUCAGUGACAAUUGUUAAACCGAACACGCAAAUGUAUAUUGGUAGCUUUAAACAUAGUGAAUAUACGAUCGACAUAGUAAAGGGUGUAUUGGAACUACGAUUUGUGUGCAAUAUUAGGGGCCUUGGAAGUUUUUCGUCAAUUAUCGAUACAAACAAUAAUAAGAAGGACAGUGAAGGGUAAUUUGAAGAUUUGCAAGAUCAGAGUGCUGGUGUGUGACACUUCAUGGAAGAGAUCGAUUUGUACAUCGUCCGACUAUUAGUGUGAAAAGUUGAGAUUUCGCUCGAAGAACAGUAAUCGUUGAAAGAACGUUGGGAUUCCUCAAGUUCGAGGAUCGAUGUGGAAGAAUGAGGAGGAAGGAGGCUUGAUUCGUGUUUCGAAGCUUUUUCUAAGAUCGUGGAGGUCGUCCGGAUCCAGAGAACAAUGACGAUCGACGGUUAAGGAAAUUGCUACGAAAAUUCCGUGGAGGGUGAUCGAGGGUUCGUUUCACCGGGGGGUUGUUGAUAUUAUGUUAGCAACGGGAUUAUGUGCAUUUCUGAAGGUGUUGGCGAUGGCGGGAAGCGUCUCGGCGCUUCUGCCAGAAGACUUCGAAGAUCCAGCUGCUCCAGCCAACCUGCAAGAAGAAUGUGCCUCGAAAUGCCCGGAUCUCGAUUUAAAUCAGAAUCGAACGGACGACUCGAGCUCGGAGGUGGGAUGUGGCAUACGAUGCAAGAUCGACCAGUGCACAAAAGGCUGCGGAGCGUGGCAACGAGCACUCGACACGAGCUGUCAAGCCGUCUGCAAUGGAACGCAAGAAUUGCUACCACCCAAAGAAUUGUACUGUGUCCUGGGUUGUCACGACGCGCUGAACCGUUACUUUCAACAACUAAAAGCGGAAAUAGGUAUUCCAUCGGCGCCAGCUUUGGUAGCGGACUCGCUAACCGCAACUUCCCUACGACUCGAAUGGAAAGGAAUAGACAUCGAAAGACGCGGCGGAGGCAUAUCGUACUUAGUGCAAUGGAGGUACGAGGAACUGGCUGAGACCUGGCAAUAUUGUAGAAAUCAAUCGUGGGGAGAGGACGAUCAGAUUUUAGUCGAAAAUUUGCAACCUUACACGAAAUAUAGGUUUCGCGUAGCGUUACUGUUAAAAUCGUCUCAACACAAUCCGGAGCCUAUCGUUUCCGCUCCGAGCGUCGUGAUACGAACGUUGGCUGCCGGUUUACCAACCUCAGCACCGGUAAUUGUAAGAGCGGUAGCGGUAGACAGCUGCCGCGCCUCUGUGUCUUGGGAACCGGGCCCUUUCCCGAAUGGGCCACUUUUGUCUUAUGUCCUGCGUCUGCAAGGGGCUGAUCACUCCCAGCUUAAGGAUAUACCAGCCUCCGAAAACACGGACCACUACAUGUUCCAAAAUCUCGAGCCUAAUAAGAAUUAUUCCAUUAGCGUGACCAUGAGGAACGGGGUUGGAGAGGGACCACCUGCGGUAACUUGCGUCAUGACCACUCCAGAACCGGCUGUGAAAGACACGCAACAACCUAUUUUAAUUCUCGGAGGUCAGCACGUGGUUAUGAAACAAGAUGCGGACAUGUUGGACGAUCCUAGCGUGGUUUACGAAAAUACGAGCACGAUUCGAGGAGUGGCGAUUCACGUGGCUUCCGCUCGGCUCUUCAUUUCCGAUUCAUUAGGAUACGUGUACAGAACGUCCAUCACGAAACGAACGAAACCAACGGUGAUACUCAGCCCGAGCCAGGCGAACUUUAAACCUCUGAGUUUAUCGGUCGAUUGGCUGAACCUUCACUUGUACAUUCUGGGCGAGGUGAAACACGCGACAACGGUUUGGCAGAUUGCUAGAUGCAAUCUGGACGGAAGAGGUUUGACAGUGGCCGUGGCUGGCUUCUUGACGCGACCCACGCACAUCGAGGUAGACCCGUACAAUGGUUACUUAUUCUGGGUCACCAGGGGCGGUUUGUACCGAUUGGAUCUGGCUGACAUAAGCAACGGAGUGAAGCACGAGGUUCAGCCAUAUUUAAUUCUAGAAGACGCUAAUUUAGGAGCGUUCACCGUCGAUCACACCAACUUCCGUCUUCUCGUUCCCCAUCACAUCCAAAAUACUGUAAUAUCUGUCUCUCUGGAUGGUCGUGAAGUUAUAAAUCUUCGCGCCAACACGCAGCAACCAAGAUUCAAGAACGUGGUCUCGUUAGCCAUGGCGAACGGCUUGUUUUAUUGGACGAACGGGGAAGAGGUAUUGAUAGAGGGAUAUCACUCGGGACAAAACAGAUAUUUUCACAAUGCUUACCCCGAUAGGUCGAACGGUUCGUUUGUCAGUGUCAAUGUACUUAUGGACGCGAGCCAACCAGUUCCUGUCCCCGUGAAUCCUCCUACGGGCGUGCAAGCUGUCCUUGGUGUGGAGAGGGCGAAAGUUUCUUGGCAGGCGCCUCAUUUAUUGGGCGGCCAGGGUAAAGGAGCCUGGCAAAAUUGGUCUUACGAAUUGGAGAUCAAAGACGAAUCUACCGGAGAGACGAUACAUCAGAAGGAUAUCGCUGGAUCGUCUCAUACGGUGCACAAUCUUCGAGAGAAAUCAGAGUACUCGAUUAAGGCGGCGGCUUACACGAGCGCUGGCAGAGGUCCCUGGUCAACCGAGUUCAGGGGUCGAACCUUGAGGGACGGAUCACACGCAUCCAUUUUGUGGUCCGCAAACGAGGGUCUCCUAAGAAGCGACGUAACCGGAGAGAAUAUCGAUACUUUGAUCUAUAAAGCGGGCUUGAAGGAGACAGAGGUUGAUUAUCACAUCGUUGAUGUCAGCUGGUACAAGGAUAUUCUGUACAUCGUAGGAAACAAUUCUGCGUUGUAUCGGUACAAUAUUACGAGCCAUCAAAAAACGAAGAUGAAUAUCCACUCUGUCGGGAGCGUCGCUGUCGAUUGGAUAUCGAAAAAAUUGUACUGGGCUAAUCCAAAGCAACAAAUUAUAACAAGAGCAAAUUUGAAUGGAUCUCAUCAAGAGCCCAUGUCGAUUCUGGCCAUCGUUAAAGAAUUAAUGAUCGAUUCUUUGGAAGCGUACCUGUAUUGGUCAACAGGCCACGCCGUUGAAGUGGCUCGUUUAAACGGACAAGACAGAAGAUACUAUCAUUCGGAUGAAAUAUUUAACGGGAAACAAGUGAUGGGGUUAACGCUGGACACAGAGAACAGAUACGUUUAUUGGAUUGUCCGAAGCUACGAAAGUGGAUCUAUCGUUUAUCGAGCGCCAACGUCCGAAAGAAUUUCGAUGAGUCACAAAAUCGUGCCUGAGAAGGUCUCAGCACUGCAGUAUCCAAACAUGCAAGGCCCUUUAUGCUACUUCUCGGAGCAUCUUCUGUGGCUUCAAGACGACCGGAACGCGGUGAUAGGCGAUCUGUCUGGCCAAAACACGGCCAUAAUAAACGGUAUCAGCUUGUCAGGCCUUCACAUGGUGGCCGUAAUGGAUCCAGCGCUUCAUCAAUAUCCAAAGAAUCUUACAUCAGAAACCGUAGCUGUAUUACCAAACGCCGUAAACUAUAGCAGUAUUAGAGUAGAAGGCAGCUGGAGGAACUUUAACAUAUCCUGGGACCCGGUGGAGAAUAUCAAUUAUGGAACUGUCUUCUACGAAGUGAAAUUCGCGGAUUAUAUCAAUACCAAUUCGAAUCCGGAGAUAACGACGGAAACCUCGAUGCCUUAUAACAAUUCCGAACAGAUUUUGCCUUAUUCGGUCCUGGAGGUGACUGUGAAAGCCUUCACGUAUUGGGAAACGGCACACCAUACAAGGAAGAUACUGAGGUCGCCACAAAGCGUCCCCAGUCAGCCAACGAAUCCUAGAGCGUUUAUAGAGUUUCGUAAAGAACCACUGAGCGAAAAUGUCGACAUAUUUGCGAUAUUCAGGUGGGAUCAACCCGAGUUCACGAAUGGUCUGAUCACCGGAUACACGGUUCAGUGUUGGUUUAAGGAGAACAACGUCGAGAUGCAAAUCUGCGAUCAGUCGCUUAUUCCAUCCACGUUGUUAGAGCACACCGUUCAAGACCUGUUGCCAAACACGACGUAUUACUUCCAAGUUCGAGCUCAUACGGAAAUUGGCGCUGGACCGUACACCGACGUGAUCAGCGUUUCGACGAUUUACGAAAAUCCGAUACCGCAAUUGCUGGUCGCCACGAUGGACGCGGUUCGAAUAUCCGAUUUGGAUCAGGAAAUGAACUAUACCGUUACUCGGCACAUCGCGGUUGAAGUGACGUAUCUGGCCGCGGAAAGCAAAAUUUACUGGAUCAACGAAAUGCAGGAGUUGGUAACGUCGGACUUGGAUGGGGCAAACGCUACUAAAAUAUUGACGUUGAACAACAGUGCAUUUAGUAUAACUGUCGAUUGGGUGGCGAGACAUCUUUACUGGUCCGAAUCCAGCUAUCGAGAAAACGGUGGAUGUAUCAUGAAGUUAGAUUUGACCAUGUGGCAAGCUGGAAUUCUUAAAUACGAAAACAUCGUUACGACGAGCAGACGUAUCGUGAAUCUUGAUAUAUUACCAUCUACCGGAUCGUUGUAUUGGAUAGAACAAACUAAGAAAGACGGUGGAGUAAUAAUGCGGUCGAAUUUAAGCGGCGGUGAUAUUCAACCGUUCUUCGAUCAUAUAGACGAUUGUUCCUGUCCUUACAGGCCGUCCGUGAUUCCUGUGAUGACGAUCGAUAGCACCGAUUAUCAAAAACCAGUCAUGUACUGGAUUUCUUUGGAAGGUCACCUAAACAGCGCCGAUAUCGACGGAUGUAAGUGCAAUCUGAUAGUAAGCGCAGGUUUCAACAAAGGAUUACCAGCAAGAUCGUUGACCGUCGACAAGAUGAACAUUUAUUGGUCCAACAUUCCGGAAGAUCAAAUUUAUUUUGUAAAUAAAAAAUAUCCCGAUGACGAGGAGAUCAAACACUUUUAUUUACCAUCUGUACGAAGCAUCAAAGCCCUUGGGAAGUCUCUGCAAACCUAUCCGAUCACCAACUGUUUGAUUCCUCGUCAAGACUCCUACAACGUGGAAGAAGCGAGAAAAACAGCAAGUAGCAUCACUGUGAGACUUCCCGAGCCGAUUCCUCGAUUUGGCUGCGAAGGAUACAGCUUACCUACGACGCUAUACACGAUAUACGUGUCUCAAUGUCUAGAAAAUGAUCCAAACAUGUGCGAGGACAGCGACAGAACAAAGUUGCAGACUUACGAGAAGGAAUACGAAAUAAAGGAUUUGAAGCCUUUCACGAAAUAUAGACUGAAACUGGCUUUGAGUAAUUAUUACGCUGAUUCGGAGUCGAUGAGUUUAGAGUUUGAUUCUGGUGUCGUGUUACGAACCGAAGCUGGCGCUCCUACAGCUCCGGAGAACGUAACCGUGGAAGCUCUGACACCAACUUUGGCUAUCGUCUACUGGAUGCCACCGAAGAUAUUAAAUGCCGCAGCUGUACGAUACGAGGUACAUUGGAGAUUGGUUCGAUUAAUAAACGGAGCACGACAAAAGGGAGAACAAUUUAUAAAAGGCACCGAACGCACAACCGAUGGAAGAUUCUUCACCAUGUUGGAACCAUGGCUACCCGAUCAGGAGUAUCUAGUGUUCGUUCGCGCUUAUCCUGCCCACGUUAACGAUGUAUACAGCGAAAGUCCCGGUCAAGUAGUCAAGAUGUAUCCAGAACCUAAUAAUUUGACGUUAACCGGGGUUAGCGUGAAUAGCUUGAACGUAUCCUGGGUGCCAACAGUCGAUUUGAUGGUCAAAUACACGUUGGAAUACAAAGAUGUUGCUGUAGAAAAUUGGCAAGAGGCGAAUGACUUUACGAUGGAAAACGAUAAAGUGACGUAUUUCAUCAAAAAAUUACAACCACGAACUUUGUACAAAUUUCAUCUGCUUCUGAGAUAUCCAAAUUACAAGAAAGAUUUCGUGUGGCCAACAGAUGGGAGGUUCACGUUUCAAACGUUAGGUGAUGUACCGAGUGCUCCAGGUAUGCCAACGGUAACCACACUCCGUAACUCUGUGUACCAAUUGAAUUGGGAACCAGCGCAAGCUCAUGGCUCGCAGAUCACGUUGUACCGUGUCGAGGGGAUGAAGAUCAAUGAAAUUAACGAGCAAAUAGACUCCGCCGGGAACGCGAGCUGGAAGUUGUAUUACAAUGGGACGGACAAUUAUUGGAUAAUCACGGGAGACAUGGACGACAAGUAUCGGUUUCGUAUUCAAGCUAGAAACGCGUACGGUUUCGGUAGUUGGAGCAGAUCCAGCCCGAUCAUUGAUUUAACUGAAGCCACCGGUGGAAUAUUAGCAGAUCAACGACAAAUUGGUUUAGUGUUGGGACUUUUCGUCACUGUUAUCACUUUUAUCAUUUGCUUCUGUUAUUUCCGUUGCCCAGUGUACCGGCAAUGCAAAGACGAUAAAACGGCGGUUUUACCUCCGUUAGUGAGCGACGUCGAGUUAGCGACGCUUCGGGAGAUACCACGCGGAAAUUUCGUUCAAUCGAACGCGUUGUACGCGUCUACCUUGCAGAACGAUCCGGACGAUUCUACGCUUCCUAAAAUCAGAAGGGAACAGAUUACCUUAGCAAAGUUUUUGGGUAGCGGAGCCUUUGGUGAAGUAUUUCAAGGGAAUGCGAAGGAUUUGGAAAGACCAGGAGUUACGCCAGUUGCGAUCAAAACGUUGCGAAAGGGUGCCUCGGCCCAGGAAAAGACAGAGUUCCUUCAAGAAGCUAGACUCAUGAGUCAUUUUCGACAUAAACACGUGUUAAGACUUUUGGGAGUCUGUUUAGAUACCGACCCACCGUUAUUGGUGUUGGAACUGAUGGAAGCUGGAGAUUUACUGAGUUAUUUAAGGGCGAGUCGAUCUUUGCAACCAUCGGAUCCACACGCGUUACGUCUGCAAGAUUUGCUCGCUAUGUGCGAGGAUGUGGCAAGGGGAUGCCGUUAUUUGGAGGAGCUCCAUUUUGUACAUAGAGAUCUCGCGUGUAGAAAUUGUUUGGUAUCUGCCAGAGAUCGAGAGAACCGUGUCGUUAAGAUCGGUGACUUUGGACUGGCCAGAGAUAUAUAUAAGAACGAUUAUUAUCGAAAAGAGGGAGAAGGAUUACUUCCUGUUCGAUGGAUGGCACCUGAAUCGUUAGUGGACGGUGUAUUCACUUCACAGAGUGAUGUCUGGGCAUUUGGUGUAUUAAUGUGGGAAAUCACGUCCUUGGGACAACAACCGUAUCCUGCCAGAACAAAUAUCGAAGUAUUACACCAUGUACGCGCAGGUGGAAGGUUGCCCAAAUCUCUAAAUUGUCCACCUGCUUUACAUCAGCUCAUGUUGCGUUGUUGGAGCGUUGCCGAUGCUAGGCCGAGCUUUAAAGUUUGCCUUGAAAAUAUAGUUAGUCUUCGAAGUACCAUAGAGGAUGCACAACUGAACCCGGUUCAUGCUGGUCAUUAUUUAGCUAGAAGAGGGAAUUCUUGGAAAUCCAGCAGCUCAGAAGGCAGCCGAGAUAUGCAACCGUUCCUUCAGAAUUCCCAUAAUGCGACACUUACAUCACAAUCGAAUGAAAUACCGAAAUAUUUAGAAUUGUUAGCGGAUAACGAAGAUAUCAUGCCAAGGGAAAAUUCAACAAACGGAUACGAAGUGCCUCGGUCGAUUCAUAUCUCCGAUCAAAAUGUAGCCAAUAUGAAUAAAUCUAGUACAAACGUAGAUGUAAAGAGCAAUUUGCAUUCUGAUGCGCCACAAGAACAUAAAGAUGCUUCGAAUGAUGCGAAAGAACAACCAGAAAGAAAGUGUGACAAGAGAUCGUCGAUAUCUAGUUUGAAUUUACCAGAACGUAAAAGAGCAUCGAUCACGAGCAUGACUGAAAAAUGUAACACUUUAGAUAGUUCGAAAUUAACUAAUCCUACUAUUAAAGCGAUUUUAAAAAGAGAUUCCUUCACAUCAUUGACUGAUCAGCGGAAAAAUAAGAGGAACGUAACCGAACGACGAGAAUCGGAAUUAAGUUUAGAAGGUAGAAGUUCUAGUUCUUUAAGCUCGAAUAUUAGUUUAGCGCCACCUACUCGACCUAGUUCAUCGUUAAUUAGUUCACAAAAUGUUCUUCCAUUAAAGAACGGCGUUAUCGGAGGAACCGGCGAGUCAAACGAUAAUAACGUUACGAAGAACGCAUUGCCAAAAAUUCAAAGGACUCAUUCCAAUUUGCAAAAUGGUAAAGCUAACAUACCUUUGGUGAUAAACAGUGCAUUAUUGAACUUAUUGAGACAGACUCCAGUUGUCGAGGAUAGUAACAAUAUAGUCACAUACACGAACAUAAAUACGGAUGCUGUUAGAGUAAACGGAUCGUGAAGUUUUUAUUAAAGAUGUGAUGGAUUAAGUGAUUUGAUGGGUCGUGUUUCUAAAACAGAAUCAUAAUUUCAAUAAUAACUCCGUACCGAAACUGGAAAUGCGUGUAUAGUUCCAUAGCUUUAAACUGCCAUAUUAAUGUAUGUACAUAUUUAAGUUUUAGUAUCUGAAAUUUAUUUUACAUGAACUGUGGCAGAAAGAUUUCAUUUGAUAAUGACAUUAAUUUUAGUUGACUAUCGGACUUGUUGCUUAGUAUCUUAGAAUCAAGAAUAGUUAGAGAGAAUUAUGUGGUGAGUAAUCUGCGUUAGUUUUAUAUUUGUCAUUACAACUAAUGUAUUUAUUUAAUGACACGGAAGUAUGAGUAAAUUUUCACCAUUCAUUGUACAAAUUUCAUAUUAGCGGUAAUAUAAAGUAUAGUAUGAAAACUGAUAUUCAUAUUACGUUUAAGGACUUGUUAAGUUUUACACAUACAUGUAGUGGUUCUUUUUAAAACAGUACAAGAAUAAAUUUUUGCAUAUAUUUAACUUUAUGUGACUGAACUGAGAAUUUUUAAAACUUGUAUUUUCAAAUUUCAUUAUUAAUGAUUUAAGAAUCAAUAAAAUUCGAAGAGGUUUGUAAAUACUUUAACAAUAUAUAAAUUUCCUACUUUUUAAA